Misgurnus anguillicaudatus (oriental weatherfish) is the source of this 1672-nucleotide non-coding RNA. Lineage: Eukaryota; Metazoa; Chordata; Actinopteri; Cypriniformes; Cobitidae. The record is from RefSeq and is a predicted model, not a curated record.
AAAGUUAAACUGCUAGCUAAAAGUUUGAACCAAGAAGGAUAAUAUUAACAGGAGAUAUGAAUGAAAGAAUUGAACCAUGAUAAAACGCGACAUGCACUACAAAUUGAAGGUAUGAAAUUAAGUUAAAUGAAAGCUCGUUUAUUCACCAUAUGAUGCUCGUUAUGAGGUAACGUUAAUCAUAUAGGCUAGAUACCGUGAGUUAACGAGGUCGUUUACAUGCACGCGAGUGCACGGAUAUCGGUUAAUUAUUCAAAUUACUGAAAAACACGGAGACAACCGCAUUGCCAUGUGUUUUUCCAAGAUGUAUGCAAACAGGGGAAAUAUCACCAAACCAACAAUUCUUUUUACCAAAACCUCACUAUAUAUCAUCAUUUGUAUGCACAGAUUGCUGGAUUGGAUGCAUUGUGUGUUGUAAGCUUUUCGUGGCGCUAGAUGUCAGACAGAUGCAAAUGGCAAAUACAUACGAAAGUGUAAAACGUGUAUGGCGAACAUUUGUUUUUCUGUCAUUAUAGAUGCUAGUUUGGUGAAAGUACACACUGAGUGCUUCAAAUCAUUCAGACGAGAUGCUGUUUUUAGGGCAGUUUAUUAAAGAAGACCUGACAUGGAUGACUUCCAAUGAGAAACGACUGCUAAUACUUAUAUAAAUUCAUUACAGAAGGACCCUACCAGACUAUAUUUGAAUACGGCAUACCCAUGAAUUCUGAACUGUUAUUCCUUAACCCAGUUUGGAGGAUAAGAGCUUACCAACUAGUUAUAAAUAUGCUGAGGCGAUGUAUUGCAAAAUAGCCAACAUACAGCAAUUAAAGGAUAAUUGCAGACUAUAUCCUGAUGAAGAUAUGGACGACCCUCUGUCUGGUCAACAAUAGUUUAAAUAUGGAUGGGACAGUGAUGUGGCAGCUCUUCCCUGACUCAUUCACCUCUUGCCUUAAUUUGUGAAAGGAAGAAAGACUGGAGAGGGUCAAUGUGCAACUGAAGCUACUGAUUGUGCUGUGUGAUGAGCAUCAAUCCAUGCUUUGAGGUGGAUGGAUCAGCACAGCCCUGCCUGCUCUGCGUUGGGAACAGAAGUUGCAUCCAGAGUUUUUGCAUCAUUCUGGACCAAAAAGCCAUUCCCUCCAUGAUGAAGACCACUGAUGCAGCCUUCCACUACAUCAUGAGUAAAACAACUACAGAACUUAAUACCAGGUUGGAACGUAUUUAAGAAAAAUGAAACGUCUUUUGAAUUGAAAUGUCUGUUUUGUUAUGGAUAAAUCUUUAGUAUUGUGAAGGAUAAGCAUUUCUGCUUGCCGAUAAGGUAAUUGCAUGUAUUUUAAUAUUCAAGUUUUGAGUAGGGUGGCUAAUUUUUUUUAACUCUCAUUUGAUUUAUUAAAGACUUUAUAAUAAGUGGUUUUCAUGUCACUGCGCUGUGGUAUAAGAUAAAUUUCAUUAUUCCAUACUGUAUUCUGUUUCUAAUUGUAGCUGAGGUAUUUAAAUAAGCAGUGUUAAAUGCAAAGUGUUGUGUGUAUCAAUGUAAAUAUUAAAUGUGAUGUACUUUAAUAAAAAGAGGUUUUGCAAUAUUUCUUGUCAUUUGUCUUUUAUAGAAACAACCCAUUAGCAACAAAAGUGGCUAUUAAUCAGUAUUUUAACACUUAACAUUGUUGAAUUCACAUUACACUGGUGUUGACCUUAAAUUAGG